AACCUUAUUGCAUUUAUGCUCAUAUUUACACGGCGUUAGAAAAAAUAUUUGGUACUUUGUGCCAAAAUGACAAAUAUAAGGAGUAUUUGAAUUUGCUGACCGCUGGAAGAGAUACUCGUUCUAUUGACAUCAAAGGGAAGAUACUUUUCAAACUAAAGGUUCUCGAGAAAUUUAGUUUGGCUUUAAUCGCUCCUUGUUCUCAAGAUUUCGCUCCAGCAGAUUGUUCAUGUUAUCGAGCUGAAUUAGUUACGCAUGUAGAAACUACAUUCGCACUUACAUCAGCUGAAACAAGAAUACCAAGUAUGGAUAACAAAAGAGCCCAACUGGUAGCAGACAUAAUGGAAAACGACGAAAUGAGAGAAAUACUCA
Molecule: long non-coding RNA, 369 nt
Organism: Manduca sexta (tobacco hornworm)
Lineage: Eukaryota; Metazoa; Arthropoda; Insecta; Lepidoptera; Sphingidae
Exons: 2
Source: RefSeq, a predicted model, not a curated record